UGAGGAAUAUUGGUCAAUGGGCGAGAGCCUGAACCAGCCAAGUAGCGUGCAGGAUGACGGCCCUAUGGGUUGUAAACUGCUUUUGUUUGGGAAUAAUCGACAUUACGUGUAAUGUUUUGCAUGUACCAUUCGAAUAAGGACCGGCUAAUUCCGUGCCAGCAGCCGCGGUAAUACGGAAGGUCCAGGCGUUAUCCGGAUUUAUUGGGUUUAAAGGGAGUGUAGGCGGUUGGUUAAGCGUGUUGUGAAAUGUAGAUGCUCAACAUCUGACUUGCAGCGCGAACUGGCUGACUUGAGUACACACAACGUAGGCGGAAUUCAUGGUGUAGCGGUGAAAUGCUUAGAUAUCAUGACGAACUCCGAUUGCGAAGGCAGCUUACGGGAGCGCAACUGACGCUAAAGCUCGAAGGUGCGGGUAUCGAACAGG
This 424-nucleotide ribosomal RNA is filed under the name Verrucomicrobiota bacterium. RNAcentral describes it as "Verrucomicrobia bacterium partial 16S ribosomal RNA". It matches the Rfam family "Bacterial small subunit ribosomal RNA", at positions 355 to 776 of the family's 1533-position model. The record is from RNAcentral. Lineage: Bacteria; Pseudomonadati; Verrucomicrobiota.